This 77-nucleotide transfer RNA is filed under the name Candidatus Omnitrophota bacterium. RNAcentral describes it as "Candidatus Omnitrophica bacterium tRNA-Met". It matches the Rfam family "tRNA". From Rfam's summary of the family: Transfer RNA (tRNA) molecules are approximately 80 nucleotides in length. Their secondary structure includes four short double-helical elements and three loops (D, anti-codon, and T loops). Further hydrogen bonds mediate the characteristic L-shaped molecular structure. tRNAs have two regions of fundamental functional importance: the anti-codon, which is responsible for specific mRNA codon recognition, and the 3' end, to which the tRNAs corresponding amino acid is attached (by aminoacyl-tRNA synthetases). tRNAs cope with the degeneracy of the genetic code in two manners: having more than one tRNA (with a specific anti-codon) for a particular amino acid; and 'wobble' base-pairing, i.e. permitting non-standard base-pairing at the 3rd anti-codon position. The record is from RNAcentral. Lineage: Bacteria; Pseudomonadati; Candidatus Omnitrophota.
CGCGGGGUGGAGCAGCCUGGUAGCUCGCAAGGCUCAUAACCUUGAGGUCGCACGUUCGAAUCGUGCCCCCGCUACCA